This 395-nucleotide ribosomal RNA is filed under the name uncultured bacterium. RNAcentral's name for it is "bacterial SSU rRNA". It matches the Rfam family "Bacterial small subunit ribosomal RNA", at positions 505 to 898 of the family's 1533-position model. The record is from RNAcentral.
GUGUCAGCCGCCGCGGUAAGACGUACCACCCAAACGUUAUUCGGAAUCACUGGGCUUAAAGGGUCCGUAGGCGGCCAAGAAAGUUGGGUGUGAAAUACCUCAGCUCAACUGAGGAAUUGCGCUCAAAACUACUUGGCUCGAGAAAGACAGAGGUGAGCGGAACUGAUGGUGGAGCGGUGAAAUGCAUUGAUAUCAUCAGGAACACCGGUGGCGAAAGCGGCUCACUGGGUCUUUUCUGACGCUGAUGGACGAAAGCUAGGGGAGCGAACGGGAUUAGAUACCCCGGUAGUCCUAGCCUUAAACGAUGAGCACUAGAUCGAGGGGACCCUCACAUCCUCUUGGUCGUAGGGAAACUGUUAAGUGCUCCGCCUGGGGAGUAUGGUCGCAAGGCUGAA